Molecule: ribosomal RNA, 755 nt
Filed under: uncultured bacterium
Lineage: Bacteria
Description: bacterial SSU rRNA
Rfam family: Bacterial small subunit ribosomal RNA
Source: RNAcentral
CUUAUAUUGAAACCUAGUGAUGUAUGAGUUAGUGGCGGACGGGUGAGUAACGCGUGGAGAACCUGCCGUAUACUGGGGGAUAACACUUAGAAAUAGGUGCUAAUACCGCAUAAGCGCACAGCUUCGCAUGAGGCAGUGUGAAAAACUCCGGUGGUAUACGAUGGAUCCGCGUCUGAUUAGCUAGUUGGCGGGGUAAAGGCCCACCAAGGCGACGAUCAGUAGCCGGCCUGAGAGGGUGAACGGCCACAUUGGGACUGAGACACGGCCCAAACUCCUACGGGAGGCAGCAGUGGGGAAUAUUGCACAAUGGGGGAAACCCUGAUGCAGCGACGCCGCGUGAGUGAAGAAGUAUUUCGGUAUGUAAAGCUCUAUCAGCAGGGAAGAAAAUGACGGUACCUGACUAAGAAGCCCCGGCUAACUACGUGCCAGCAGCCGCGGUAAUACGUAGGGGGCAAGCGUUAUCCGGAUUUACUGGGUGUAAAGGGAGCGUAGACGGCAGCGCAAGUCUGGAGUGAAAUCCCAUGGCUUAACCAUGGAACUGCUUUGGAAACUGUGCAGCUGGAGUGCAGGAGAGGUAAGCGGAAUUCCUAGUGUAGCGGUGAAAUGCGUAGAUAUUAGGAGGAACACCAGUGGCGAAGGCGGCUUACUGGACUGUAACUGACGUUGAGGCUCGAAAGCGUGGGGAGCAAACAGGAUUAGAUACCCUGGUAGUCCACGCUGUAAACGAUGAUUACUAGGUGUUGGGGGACCAAGGU